AGCUACCCCGGGGAUAACAGGCUUAUCUCCCCCAAGAGUCCACAUCGACGGGGAGGUUUGGCACCUCGAUGUCGGCUCAUCGCAUCCUGGGGCUGUAGUCGGUCCCAAGGGUUGGGCUGUUCGCCCAUUAAAGCGGUACGCGAGCUGGGUUCAGAACGUCGUGAGACAGUUCGGUCCCUAUCCGUCGCGGGCGCAGGAAAUUUGAGAGGAGCUGUCCUUAGUACGAGAGGACCGGGAUGGACGCACCGCUGGUGUACCAGUUGUCUUGCCAAAGGCAUAGCUGGGUAGCUACGUGCGGACGGGAUAAGUGCUGAAAGCAUCUAAGCAUGAAGCCCCCCUCAAGAUGAGAUUUCCCAUGGCGCAAGCUAGUAAGAUCCCUGAAAGAUGAUCAGGUUGAUAGGUCAGAGGUGGAAGCGUGGCGACAUGUGGAGCUGACUGAUACUAAUAGAUCGAGGACUUAACCAAC
RNAcentral lists this ribosomal RNA (466 nucleotides) under Bacillus sp. mrc49. Its description in RNAcentral is "bacterial LSU rRNA". It matches the Rfam family "Bacterial large subunit ribosomal RNA", at positions 2461 to 2925 of the family's 2925-position model. The record is from RNAcentral. Lineage: Bacteria; Bacillati; Bacillota; Bacilli; Caryophanales; Bacillaceae.